CAAGUACAUAUAUAUCUGCAGGUUCAUCAGUAUCAACCCAGUCAUCAAUAUCCAGAUCAUCCGGUGGCAUUUUGCCUCCAACAUUCCAUGUAGCAACUCGGACUAUAUAGGAAAAGAAAGAUAUCGAUUUCAGACGCGAAAAACUUGAAACUAGCUUUUCCUUGUCCGGCCAUGUUUAAAAAGGGACGAGAAGUGGACCUGAGUUCUUUAGGACUAAUGUACUGGGCUCUAAAAGUUUCUGACUUCCUACGUCUGUGCAGAAAUGGAAGCGCAUCUGCAAAACAAAUAUAGCAAUAUACAGAGUUUUUCAUUACACGUAAACACCCAUGGAAAACCAGAAACUAAGGAAGCAAACAUAAAACAAAGAAAUAACCAGGAGGUUGGCGGAACAGUAGUAUGGAAAUAAGAAUAUACCCUAUACACACUGUAGAUUCUAAACUUGAGAUCAGUCAACUGGAAAAGAAAAAAAAUUGGAUGCUCAAGAACCGACCACGCAAAGCCAUCAUAAUUUAUGAUGAGGAAACGGUUUCAUGAUCAUGCCACUAUUCCAAUUCAAAUAGUCAACCGUGAUCUGGCGUGCAAACAUUUAUUAUGUUCUGAGCAAUCAAUGAGGAAACUAACAAGAAACAGGGCCACACUGAAAUCCAUUUAAGUGUCUGCAACAAUAUGAUUAAACUAAUUAUGGUGGUGGAUGUUCACCUAACACCAUCUUCCAUUCUUCCUCAUCAUUCUCUGCCUCAUUAAGUAAAACCCACUUGCCAUAAUUUCACGUGAUUAAGAAAAUUCAAAACAGGGCGGCCUAAAUAAUCAACCUUGACAAACUAAACUAAGUUCUUCCCAGGGUAGAUCAAGAUCCAGUUUCUUAAUCUCUUCAUUCAUUUCUCCAGGGACGUUCUACAUAGCUGACCUUAAAAGUUCCAACUGUUCAUUCUUCCAUAUCAAUCAUCCCAAACAGUGGAUUGGAUGUAUGAUUCAUCUCUCUAUUCUCUCAAUAGUGACAUCUCAGACCAUGGUCGGUACUGUUGACAGAAACAGACCCAUGGUGGAUAUACAUUGGCCUGCCUAAAAUGCCACCAAUCUUCAAUGCUCACAGCCCCCUAAAACCCCACUCUGGAAAUAAACAAGUACAUUCCCUUUCCAUGGUUAACACCAUAUCUCGAAUCAGUACAUUCAAAUCCAACCGC
This 1184-nucleotide long non-coding RNA is filed under the name Linum usitatissimum (flax). RNAcentral describes it as "long non-coding RNA (LUSI_LNC005505)". The record is from RNAcentral. Lineage: Eukaryota; Viridiplantae; Streptophyta; Magnoliopsida; Malpighiales; Linaceae.